CUCUUGGUCCUCAGCUCUUUUGUGAGAAGCAGUGCUGUAUAGCCAGAGAGCCUCUUCGCCAGUUGGGAAAUCAAAGUAAGUGCUUCAGGGGCAUGAAGAAGAAACCACUGUUCCUGAGUUUAUGUUUAAGUUCUUCUUUCCUCCUUUGGAGGGAGGAAAUUGGAUUUAUCCUGAGGGAAAGGUCACCCUAGAUGAGUACUUAAAUGGUUCUGUAAUUACUUCUCAGCUGCAGAGAGGAACAGGAUCUUCUGUUCUCUUCUUCAUCCAGGGAGGUAGACCUUUACCCUCAGGAACUGAGCUGUGGGUUUGUACUUCUGAGAGCAGAAGGAAACAGGAUGUCGUAUACCCUUGUCCAUUAGUGCUUGAAAGGAGUUCAGUCUAAAAUUUUGAGUCCUAUUGCAAGACAUUUGAAAAUGGAAAAAAUGUUGUAUAGUGCUUGUCAUCCUUUCAUUGCUUCCGGAGUGCCUUCAUUAGCAACCCUGUAAAAUCCUGUGCUUUAUCAGAUUUCAUUUAUCACCAUUAAGGAUGACCCCAUCAUGUCUGUCCAUUGUCCACUUGCUCACAUAUUACCUCAUAGCUGUCAAACAAGUAAUAGGUGGAGGUCCAUUGGGCUGGUACUUCCUGUUCACUUUCAGAUGUACUGAUAAAAGGGUUGCUUGGAUGUCCCUCAGGGUUUGAGAUUCUGUCAAGCUAAGGCUGAAGGGUUGGCCUUUCUCCGUCUGUAUUUUAAACACACGUAUGCUCAUCUCAAUAUCAGCUGUGUGAAAGCAAAACUCCCAAAUCUAGAAAUACAAGCUUGUAUUAAUAUGCAGUUUCUUUGUGAACUGCUUGCUCAUCCUUGAGUCUUAACAAUAAAAAAGACCAGUGAUU
This is a long non-coding RNA of Gallus gallus (chicken), 870 nucleotides long. NCBI's taxonomy places the organism in Eukaryota, Metazoa, Chordata, Aves, Galliformes, Phasianidae. The record is from Ensembl.